UUUAAAUUAUAGUAAAUGGAAUACAGGAUGACCUCAGUUAAGUCCAUGCUGUCUACACAUUUAGGGAGGUACCUACCCAGUGUGAAUUGCAGAAGACGAACACUCAGCAUUUUUGCCUCUGAAAGCUGCAUGUGCUACAGACACUUUGGAAAUGACUUGUGCUCCCUAAACAUGAGAUAGAAGCUCUACACACUUAAAAAAAAAAUUAAAAACUACAUAAGAAAAUGGAUACUAUGGGUCAUUGUGUCAAAAAGUCUUCUUGAAUGACUAUACUCUCCACUUACUCUGUUUGGUUAUAUUGCACUAUGUACCUGGGACUUUUC
Molecule: long non-coding RNA, 323 nt
Filed under: Anas platyrhynchos platyrhynchos (common mallard)
Lineage: Eukaryota; Metazoa; Chordata; Aves; Anseriformes; Anatidae
Description: lncRNA (ENSAPLG00000030534.1)
Source: RNAcentral